This 1351-nucleotide long non-coding RNA is filed under the name Lathyrus oleraceus (garden pea). RNAcentral describes it as "Pisum sativum (pea) long non-coding RNA (PSAT_LNC004283)". Lineage: Eukaryota; Viridiplantae; Streptophyta; Magnoliopsida; Fabales; Fabaceae. The record is from RNAcentral.
UAAAUAAAAGAGACAAAUAAAGUAAAAAUAAAUAGAAAUGGGCCUUGGGGGUAUGAUCCGGAAUUUAUGGUGUUUGAGGAAGUAAUAGCACUGCUGGCCCAAAGCUAAGGCCCAAAAUCCAAACCGUCUAUGGAAAGGGAGGUGUUACACGGAUCUGAGGUGAUGAUUGGUAAAACGAAUGGCCUGAGGCCCAUAUAAAAAAUCCACACAAAUAGGAGGCACCAAGCCACCCUCACUCAGAAUGAAACCAGGCUCUCCAUAAUCUCCCCGUCUCCGCCGUGCCAGAGCUCUUUGCCGGCGACGGCGGAGCUCCUAUACAACAAAACACCUCAAUCUCCUUGCCUUACCUCCCGAUCACAAAUCCUUCCACCAAAUCCUCUCAAACCCAAAAGUGGAGCUAAAUAGAAGAAGGAAAACAAACGAAAAUUAUUGGGCAAAACACGAUGAAACAUGCAACAAGCUAAGGGAUAAAGCUCCUCCGAUGAAACGAGCUCACGGCGGAAAGACGGGGGAAACAAAGCUCCGACGCGGAGACCUCGGCGAAUCAAAGACAAAGGUAUGCACCGAUACUCUCUUCUCUCUUUCACGCUUCAUUCUUCUUCUUCUAUGCUGUUGUUGUGUUGUUGUCUUUCAAUUCCAAAUUAUACUGAGCUGGUGCACCAGGUAGUUGAUGAGUUGUGAAUUGGCUUGCUUCAUUGGUUUUUGUUCACUUAAUUUGCUAUUAUUUAUGAGCUAAAAUGUGCUGUUUCAAAAUGUAGUUAAUUAAAUUUGUUGGCAAAUAUUGGUUUCCAAUCAGUUCUGCUGUGAUGCGUUUGGUUAAGUCUGGCCCUAUUUUUGUUUAGCUAUGUGCUUAUGUGAAUCUAUUAAUGUUAGGAUUUCUGUUAGUGAGCUAUUAGUAAAAAAAGAAUGUUAGCAUAAUGGUAAAUGUGAUGUGAUGAAUUGUAUUGUUGUUGUUGCAGGUUCAGGUUCGUUAAACUUGGUUGAUUACUUGUGAACUAUCAUGGGCUUACGAUGGUUGGGUUGCAAGUUCAUGUAUGUGAAGGUUUACUGCUGCGAAAAACUGGUUAUGAAAUAGUGGUUUGGGCUGGUUUUGAAUGAAAUCAGUGUGAUGUACAUGAUUCUUGGAGGUGCCCCAUGAGGAUGAUGAUGGCCCAAAGUUCCUUUUCAAUUGUUCCAUGUAAAUGCUAAUUGUCAUGAUAAUGGGAUGUAAUAGAAUUAAUAUUGUAAAUGUAAUGCAACCUUGUAUCCAUGUUCUAUUAGCAAAAUUUUUGAGAUUAAACUAUUAAUUAACUUAACACAUAAAGGAAGAGUCGUCACCGCACUUUUAUUAUUUUUAAAGGAAAAGGGAAAA